UACGAAGGGGGCUAGCGUUGUUCGGAAUUACUGGGCGUAAAGGGCGCGUAGGCGGCGUGUCAAGUCAGGCGUGAAAGCCCCGGGCUCAACCUGGGAACCGCGCUUGAGACUGGCAUGCUCGAGUUCGGGAGAGGAUGGUGGAAUUCCCAGUGUAGAGGCGAAAUUCGUAGAUAUUGGGAAGAACACCGAUGGCGAAGGCAGCCAUCUGGACCGACACUGACGCUGAGGCGCGAAAGCGUGGGGAGCAAACAGG
This 253-nucleotide ribosomal RNA is filed under the name uncultured bacterium. RNAcentral describes it as "partial 16S ribosomal RNA". It matches the Rfam family "Bacterial small subunit ribosomal RNA", at positions 524 to 776 of the family's 1533-position model. The record is from RNAcentral.